This 468-nucleotide ribosomal RNA is filed under the name uncultured bacterium. RNAcentral describes it as "partial 16S ribosomal RNA". It matches the Rfam family "Bacterial small subunit ribosomal RNA", at positions 28 to 507 of the family's 1533-position model. The record is from RNAcentral.
GACGAACGCUGGCGGCGUGCUUAACACAUGCAAGUCGAACGGAAAGGCCCUGCUUUUGUGGGGUGCUCGAGUGGCGAACGGGUGAGUAACACGUGAGUAACCUGCCCUUGACUUUGGGAUAACUUCAGGAAACUGGGGCUAAUACCGGAUAGGAGCUCCUGCUGCAUGGUGGGGGUUGGAAAGUUUCGGCGGUUGGGGAUGGACUCGCGGCUUAUCAGCUUGUUGGUGGGGUAGUGGCUUACCAAGGCUUUGACGGGUAGCCGGCCUGAGAGGGUGACCGGCCACAUGGGGACUGAGAUACGGCCCAGACUCCUACGGGAGGCAGCAGUGGGGAGUAUUGCGCAAUGGGCGGAAGCCUGAUGCAGCAGCGCCGCGUGCGGGAUGACGGCCUACGGGUUGUAAACCGCUGUCGCCUGUGACGAAGCGUGAGUGACGGUAAUGGGUAAAGAAGCACCGGCUAACUACGUG